GACGAACGCUGGCGGCGUGCUUAACACAUGCAAGUCGAGCGGUAAGGCCCUUUCGGGGGUACACGAGCGGCGAACGGGUGAGUAACACGUGGGUGACCUGCCCUCAGCUCUGGGAUAAGCCCGGGAAACUGGGUCUAAUACCGGAUAUGACUCCAUGACGCAUGUUGUGGGGUGGAAAGCCUUGUGCGGCUGAGGAUGGGCCCGCGGCCUAUCAGCUUGUUGGUGGGGUGGUGGCCUACCAAGGCGACGACGGGUAGCCGGCCUGAGAGGGCGACCGGCCACACUGGGACUGAGAUACGGCCCAGACUCCUACGGGAGGCAGCAGUGGGGAAUCUUGCGCAAUGGGCGAAAGCCUGACGCAGCGACGCCGCGUGAGGGAUGACGGCCU
RNAcentral lists this ribosomal RNA (388 nucleotides) under uncultured bacterium. Its description in RNAcentral is "bacterial SSU rRNA". It matches the Rfam family "Bacterial small subunit ribosomal RNA", at positions 28 to 417 of the family's 1533-position model. The record is from RNAcentral.